ACCUGCCUUGAGGAGGGGGAUAGUCCUGGGAAACCGGGUUUAAUACCGCAUGUGACCUUCGGGUUAAAGGUGCCUUCGGGUGCCGCUUCAAGAUGGGCUCGCGUCCUAUCAGCUUGUUGGUGAGGUAACGGCUCACCAAGGCAAUGACGGGUAGCUGGUUUGAGAGGAUGAUCACCAACACUGGAACUGAGACACGGUCCACACACCUACGGGUGGCAGCAGUCGAGAAUCAUUCAGAAUGGACGAAAGUCUGAUGGUGCAACGCCGCGUGGAGGAUGAAGGCCCUAGGGUCGUAAACUCCUGUCAUAUGAGAGUAAGGCAUAUGUGUUAAUAGCAUGUAUGUUUGAUAGUAUCAUAAGAGGAAGGGACGGCUAACUUCGUGCCAGCAGCCGCGGUAAUACGAAGGUCCCGAGCGUUGUUCGGAAUCACUGGGCGUAAAGGGAGCGUAGGCGGCAUGGUAAGUCAGAUGUGAAAUCCCGGGGCUCAACCCCGGAACUGCAUCCGAUACUGCCUUGCUACAGUAAUGGAGGGGUAACUGGAAUUCUCGGUGUAGCAGUGAAAUGCGUAUAUGUCGAGAGGAAGACCAACGGCGAAAGCUCGUUACUGGACAUUUACUGACGCUGAGGCUCGAAGGCCAGGGGAGCGAAAGGAAUUAGAUACCCCUGUAGUCCUGGCAGUAAACGGUGUGCGCUUGGUGUAAGUGGAUUCGACCCCAUCUGUACCGGACCUAACGCGUUAACCGCACCGCC
RNAcentral lists this ribosomal RNA (749 nucleotides) under Rubritalea sp. Its description in RNAcentral is "bacterial SSU rRNA". It matches the Rfam family "Bacterial small subunit ribosomal RNA", at positions 124 to 873 of the family's 1533-position model. Lineage: Bacteria; Pseudomonadati; Verrucomicrobiota; Verrucomicrobiia; Verrucomicrobiales; Rubritaleaceae. The record is from RNAcentral.